UUGCCACGCUACCCAGAAAGAGGUACAACCGCUGUCCACUGCGUUCAUCUGAGGUGGACACCAUUCGCAAACUGGUGGACAGUACAGAGCUGCGCGGACAUAUCGGUGGGAAGCUGGGGGACAGCAAGGAUGCGGACAGUAUGGUUCAAGCUGCUCAUGCACUGGUAGUUCACGUGCUGCAGCCAAUGCGUGCACUGCUCGUAAACCUUGUUGCUAGGUGGGCAGCCAUUUCCGACAGUGAGCGAGCAGACAUGACAAAGGAGGUAU
This is a long non-coding RNA of Sycon ciliatum, 267 nucleotides long. RefSeq lists it as uncharacterized. The transcript is spliced from 3 exons. The record is from RefSeq and is a predicted model, not a curated record. Lineage: Eukaryota; Metazoa; Porifera; Calcarea; Leucosolenida; Sycettidae.